Molecule: ribosomal RNA, 253 nt
Filed under: uncultured bacterium
Lineage: Bacteria
Description: partial 16S ribosomal RNA
Rfam family: Bacterial small subunit ribosomal RNA
Source: RNAcentral
UACGAAGGGGGCUAGCGUUGUUCGGAAUCACUGGGCGUAAAGGGCGCGUAGGCGGCCGAUCAAGUCGGGGGUGAAAGCCUGUGGCUCAACCACAGAAUUGCCUUCGAUACUGUUUGGCUUGAGACCGGAAGAGGUUAGUGGAACUGCGAGUGUAGAGGUGAAAUCCGUAGAUAUUCGCAAGAACACCAGUGGCGAAGGCGGCUUCCUGGCCUGUUCUUGACGCUGAGGCGCGAAAGCUAGGGGAGCAAACGGG